Manis javanica (Malayan pangolin) is the source of this 5187-nucleotide long non-coding RNA. RefSeq lists it as uncharacterized. Lineage: Eukaryota; Metazoa; Chordata; Mammalia; Pholidota; Manidae. The record is from RefSeq and is a predicted model, not a curated record.
GAGCCACAGAGGGCACCUCGCCCGCGGACAGGCCACAGGGCCCUGUAGGGGAUUGCACACGAGGAGACCAUCCUCUUCCCCGUCCAAGCAGGACGCGUCGGGUUUGUAUUUUUCAGGAGGUGACAGGCCCAGGUGACAGGCGUCCGCCAGGAUGUUGGGGCCAGCGGGGGUGACCGGCAGGCUCUGACCACAUGAGAUAUGCACAUCAAUAAGAUAACACACUCGGCGGGGGCCUCCCAGUAUUAAGUGCUUGGUAAACAUGGGAGGCAGGCACGCCUGUUCUCCGAAUCGCGGCUGUGAGUCUGAGCUGUCGGAAACGGGCUACACACAGCGCCCUCCAGGGUCACCUGGAGGUGACCUCUCGUCCAGCCAAGUCCUGCACAGAGUCAGGGUCCGGUGAAGGAAGGGCGACUUCACUCACUCAACACGGAGCCACCCUGUGUCAGGGCCGCUGUGACAUAAGCCUUUUUGUUUCUGGCGUUUUAUCUCCUGCUCCAAGUUUGAAGCCCAUGAGAGGAAAUUAUGUUUUGGGUCCUUCUCGGCGCUGCUGACGCUGGGCUGAGGCGGCGUUCCCAGGUAGGGGGGCUCCUGUAUUCCUGGCCACGGCUUCAGAGGGGCUGGGGCUGGAGGUCACGAGCGAAACCCGCAGACAAUUUUGCUGUGGUCACAAAGUGGCCAAGCGGCUGCCAGGCUGAGGCCCAAAGGCCCCACUGUGCCACCGAGAAGAGCACAAGGCAGCGUCCAUGUGGAAAGCGGAGGCAGAGCCCCAGCCCCUUGCUGCCCGGCUGCAGUGGGGGAGAGCCCAGCGGGACCCCGGCGCGCGACCCAGUCCCUCCCUGUCCUGGGUGAUGGCUGGGGAACAAAACAGCCUCUCCCCGUAACACCCAUCCUGGGGACCAGCCUUGUCCUUCUACUCCCCACACGCCCUUCCCCCAGGGCCCUGGCCACCACGCUCAGACCCAUUCCUGGAGCACCCACCGGGUGCAGUGUGUGCCAGUGGCGUCCAGUCCAUCUGGAAGUGCUGUUGUAUCCCCAGUGGAAAAGCCGGGCACAGGGAUGGCAGGCAACUCGCUUGAUCUCACAAGGUGGUGGCGUGGCCAUGCCUGGGUCUGGCUUCUGCCCGUCUCGCUCUUGGCCACCUCUACCCAGGCACCCUGGGUUCCCAGCACCCACUGCCUUUGGCUGCCCCCGGCCCCCGAGCCUGGGAGGCCUCCAUGCCCGGCCAUCCCCUCAACAGCGCUCAGAGCCCAUCUGGCCCGAGACUCACAGACGUGGGAGGGCACCCGGGACCUGGGACCCCGCACAGCAGGGCAGACGAGUGCCGAGAGGGAAGAAAGCGUGGGGACAGCAGGGCUGCAGGGGCCAGGAAUGAGGGGCGGGCUAUGCCCAUCUUUUUGCAUCAAGCCAGGGAGUCGGGAUUUUUCUCUUAGACUUCUGUCCUGAGAAGCCACGCAAAGUUCUAAGCCCAGGUGAGUGAUGGAAUUUACCACUCACCCUAGGUGGAAGUGUCCCGGAGGGGCUGUGUUUCCCCAGGCAGAGAAGAGGCGGGGAUGCGGGGGGCACGGCCAGGAGGGAAGCCAGGGCAUGAGCAGAGCCGGGAGGCCCGGGAGGCCCUGUGCGCAGGGGUGGGGUUGGCCCAGAGAGCCGGCGCUCCGGGGGCUCAUGCCUAAAGGCGGGUUUCCCUAAUGCCUUGAAACUGCCUCUGCAAAGAGAAGACAUUUCCGAGUCUUGGGAGAGAGAACUGAGUGAAUGCGAGUGAUGAGCACCUGCUGAUGUGUGUGCCCCACUGGACCCCAGCCCAGCCACGGUGCCCAACUCUGGCUCUGGGGGGCUUUCAACCUGACCGAGAGCGGCACUUGGCAGAGACCCUCCUCGGGAGGAAGACAGGGCCAUGUCGCAGGCUGGCCCGGGGCAGCCGGACACCCCAAAGGAUAAUCAGGCGUUUAUGCCGGAGCCCGAGGGAGCCAGGGAGGCCAGGGGCAGGCAGCAGAGAAUUUGCCCCGCCCGCCACAGGCAGGCCGGCCCGCCCAGCCGAGGCCCAAUGGCGAGGCAGGAUCAACACCCGCACGGAGCUCUCUCGAGCCAGAAGUUGGAAUGCCACACGUGGCAAACAGUUAAUGAUCAACUGGUCACCCUUAUCCACAGGGUGAUACUCAUGGGGCUAUGAAAUGUGUACAAUAUCUGCCCCCGGCCGGAGGACACAUGGCCUCCCGGGAGCGAGCACUGCUUGGUGUCCCCUUUGGGUCACCUUGUUCUGGAAGGUAGGCCUGGGGGAGCUACCCUGUGGGACAAUUUUCCCUAGCAAGCCAUUUAGCUGGAAAGAUUCCCACACACUCAGCUCCGCCCCAGCCUCCCAGCCCGGCCAAGACCCCCUCCCCCGGGGCCGUGCUAAAGGGGCCCGUGUUCCUUCCCCAGGUGCGUAGUUUGUGAAAAAGGCUGGAGCAGCUUAAGCAGGGAAACGGGCGAGCCGGGGACUGGGUGGCUGCCCCAUCCUUGGCCACCUCCGGCCAUCCCGCCCAGACACCUGGGAGGGCAUUUUCUGCCAGGGCUGCUGACUUUGGUCAAUUUAUAUGCUAAUUCCAGAAAUGAUUCUUCCUACAUUAAAUAAAAGCUGAGGAAUGUUCCAAAGGUCCGAACAGACUGUGCCGUUGACAGACAGGGGAAAGUGGCAGAGGUGCUGGCCACGGGAGUUCCAGGCGUGUGAGCUGUUCUCAGCGCACACACUUGCCUAAUUUUAGGCCCACGUGCUCCUUCAGCUGACUUGGCCAAAAUAAAACUGCUUCGGCAUCUAAAGCCUCCAAGUGCCCAUCUCGACCUUGGGGUCUUCUUCCAGAAUAACCUUUUGAGAACGCAAAGAUUACAAAACAACAUCGGAGGGCUCCGCAUCAAGCCUGCACCCCCAGAGCGGUCCACUGACUCUGGGUCACCCCGAUCCAUCUUGGCUUAGAGAAGCCCACCCUGACCGCCAGAUGAGGCGACACCCUGGCUAUACACCCAGUGGGCACUGCUUCCUUCCUGCCGCUCCUCACAAUCCUAGGGGAACUUUUUACAUAAUAACUUGUUCAGUGCCUGUGGCUACCUUCCAAUGGGCAUGGGCACUACACGGCCUGGGUCCUGGCGGCCCCGCUUCCAAGCGGAAGACCAGAACCCAAACAGACCCCACCAUCUGCCACACUGCUGCACUGCUUGUGCCCCUGCACUCCAUGCCCUCUUGUGUCCAGCACGUGGCCCUGGGCACAUGGGCUCAGGCAUCCAUCAGGUAAGAAGGGCAAGAGGUACCCACCUGUGACGUCCAUCAGAGAGGAGACCCUACUCCCCAGAAUCCAUGCCACCUGGGACUUCAGAAGGGGAGACACACGGAGAAGAUCAGGCCGUGCGGAGACGAGGCAGAGGCCAAGGGACACGGCUGCAGCCAGGACGCCUGGUCCCCCGCAGCUGGAGAGGCACAAAGGGCCCUCCCCUGGGGCCUCCAGGUGGAGUGCAGCCCUGCCACAUCUAGAUCUUGGAGUUGUGGCCUCCAGACAGUGAGACAAGAUACUUCUGUCAUUCAAAGCCCCCAGGUAGCAGUACUUCAUCACAGCCACCCCAGGAAGUCAGAACAACGUACCAGCAGCCUGUGUUUGGGGAGAGCCAUGCCAGCCAGCUCCUACCCUGCCACAUGAACUUCCCUUUCUGGCCAUAUGUCCAGUCAACUGGGGAUGUUCUGGGAAAAAAUAUAGGUGCCAGAGCUCCACCAGGGACACAGGCCCCAGGACCCUGAAGGAUGGUGUUCCGCUCACAACCAGCCAGGCACAGUCCUCCCAGAGCCCCACAGUGUCCAGCCUGGAGUCCCCUCCCCUGGCCACUGUGCACCACGGACAGGCCGGAGCGGAGAUCCCGUCCCGAGCACCCUCACAGCCAGCAGUGGGCAGAGUCACUGCCUUUUAGUUAUGAAGCAAAACAAUGCACCCCAUGGAAAGCAAGACCGCGGGGCCCCAAUGUCCCCAACACAUUCUUUGCAUCUCAAAAAAUGCCAGAGGAUCUGAUCCGAGAAGCUACUUUCCCAGGGGCUCUCUGGCGGGGCCUGUGAAACCUUCGUGGAGCCCACGGAGCCCAGUGCUUCUCACAGGAGCCCCGGGGUAUCCGGCUGGGCCCCACCUGCCACCAGCCCGCGCUGGGCUCUGGACUGGGAAUCAGCCGGUUCUCCCGCAUGCCACCUUUGGACCUGCCCCACGGUGACGAGCCCCCCGUCGCUCUGCGCUGUCCUCCCUGGGGUGACUCCUAACCCUCCCUUCUGUCCCAUGACCUGGCCAGCACUUUGGUGUCUGGAAGCAGCUGGCCCAGGCGUGCACAGAAUUACGGGGGCUUUAUUCCACGAUGGUCUGAGCUUCGGCUCCCUCCUCUGUAAGAUGGAAGCGAGAAUACUCGAUCGUGCAAGCAAGUAUGAUGAUGAAGAGCGAGCCCCGGGCCGGCACUGGGGGAAGCAGGCCCGGGGGCCUCAGGGUCUGCACCAGGUAUGGGCCAGCACUGCGUUUAUUGGACCCUUUUUCCAAGCACAUGGGUUCAGGCCCCUUUUAUUCCCCUCCUUGUCAAUGUCCCUGGAGCAUGAAAUGGUGAGCCAGGAACUUGCCUGUCCUCAAGAGGGGCUGAGCCUGGACAAAGAACAGGUGGGGUGUGGCCCCUUGGUUCCUCAUGGCCUGUCAUCCUAGCUACGUCCUGGUGCCACUGAGCCCAGUACUCCUGGGCCUGGCGCUCCUGGGCCUGGGUGCACCUCACGGAGCCCCAUCCCUCCCUCCAGACCACUUGUGGUCCAGCACCUGUGGGGCUAGAGAAGCCAGACUCAUGUCCUGGACCCUGUUCCUCUACCAGCCAGGCAUGACGGUCUGUGAGCCCCAGGUGCAGGUGACAACGGGCUUCUCCUGCAAAAGGUGCAGCAGACCCCACAUCUGAGAGCAGGACCAGGGUCCCUCCCAGCCUGAACCCUACCUGGGCCAGGUGGCCGCACAUCCCCCGGAAUGAAAGGACACACUGGGGAGCUUCCCUCCCUCACCCCCACACCCUGGCUGCUCAGAGGGGGACUUGGAGGCUGGGCACACGGUCAGGCACCCAUUCACUCGUCAUUCAUUUGGCCAGCAGGUGCUACAGAGCACAUACUAGAUGCCAGGCAGUAUUCUGGGCACCAGGGAUUCAGCAGUGAAUAAAAUAAAG